Molecule: long non-coding RNA, 212 nt
Filed under: Capsicum annuum
Lineage: Eukaryota; Viridiplantae; Streptophyta; Magnoliopsida; Solanales; Solanaceae
Description: long non-coding RNA (CANN_LNC006646)
Source: RNAcentral
CCACGGGUAAAGACAAUUACUAUAGGGUCAGUCCUAAUCUAGCGGGUGACCCCUGAGACCAGUCUUGUACUAACGGGUGAUCCCAAAGUAUGUCAUUCCUAUCUAAUGAGUGACAUCUCAUACCUAUACUUUCUACGUAGUUUUGGAACUUAGGGAUUGAUUCUAGGGAUAUUAGUCCUAUCUAGUGGGUGAACCCCCAUUCUUAGGUUCAC